AGGAUAACCUAGGUAUCUUGUACUGAAUCCAUAGGUGCAAGAGGCGAACCAGGGGAACUGAAACAUCUAAGUACCCUGAGGAAAAGAAAUCAACCGAGAUUCCCUUAGUAGUGGCGAGCGAACGGGGAUUAGCCCUUAAGCUUCAUUGAUUUUAGCGGAACGCUCUGGAAAGUGCGGCCAUAGUGGGUGAUAGCCCCGUACGCGAAAGGAUCUUUGAAGUGAAAUCGAGUAGGACGGAGCACGAGAAACUUUGUCUGAACAUGGGGGGACCAUCCUCCAAGGCUAAAUACUACUGACUGACCGAUAGUGAACCAGUACCGUGAGGGAAAGGCGAAAAGAACCCCGGAGAGGGGAGUGAAAUAGAACCUGAAACCGUAUGCGUACAAGCAGUGGGAGCCUACUUGUUAGGUGACUGCGUACCUUUUGUAUAAUGGGUCAGCGACUUAUAUUCAGUGGCAAGCUUAACCGUAUAGGGUAGGCGUAGCGAAAGCGAGUCUUAAUAGGGCGUUUAGUCGCUGGGUAUAGACCCGAAACCGGGCGAUCUAUCCAUGAGCAGGUUGAAGGUUAGGUAACACUGACUGGAGGACCGAACCCACUCCCGUUGAAAAGGUAGGGGAUGACUUGUGGAUCGGAGUGAAAGGCUAAUCAAGCUCGGAGAUAGCUGGUUCUCCUCGAAAGCUAUUUAGGUAGCGCCUCAUGUAUCACUCUGGGGGGUAGAGCACUGUUUCGGCUAGGGGGUCAUCCCGACUUACCAAACCGAUGCAAACUCCGAAUACCCAGAAGUGCCGAGCAUGGGAGACACACGGCGGGUGCUAACGUCCGUCGUGAAAAGGGAAACAACCCAGACCGCCAGCUAAGGUCCCAAAGUUGUGGUUAAGUGGUAAACGAUGUGGGAAGGCUUAGACAGCUAGGAGGUUGGCUUAGAAGCAGCCAUCCUUUAAAGAAAGCGUAAUAGCUCACUAGUCGAGUCGGCCUGCGCGGAAGAUGUAACGGGGCUCAAACCACACACCGAAGCUGCGGGUGUCACGUAAGUGACGCGGUAGAGGAGCGUUCUGUAAGCCUGUGAAGGUGAGUUGAGAAGCUUGCUGGAGGUAUCAGAAGUGCGAAUGCUGACAUGAGUAACGACAAUGGGUGUGAAAAACACCCACGCCGAAAGACCAAGGGUUCCUGCGCAACGUUAAUCGACGCAGGGUUAGUCGGUUCCUAAGGCGAGGCUGAAAAGCGUAGUCGAUGGGAAACAGGUUAAUAUUCCUGUACUUCUGGUUACUGCGAUGGAGGGACGGAGAAGGCUAGGCCAGCUUGGCGUUGGUUGUCCAAGUUUAAGGUGGUAGGCUGAAAUCUUAGGUAAAUCCGGGGUUUCAAGGCCGAGAGCUGAUGACGAGUCGUCUUUUAGAUGACGAAGUGGUUGAUGCCAUGCUUCCAAGAAAAGCUUCUAAGCUUCAGGUAACCAGGAACCGUACCCCAAACCGACACAGGUGGUCGGGUAGAGAAUACCAAGGCGCUUGAGAGAACUCGGGUGAAGGAACUAGGCAAAAUGGCACCGUAACUUCGGGAGAAGGUGCGCCGGCUAGGGUGAAGGAUUUACUCCGUAAGCUCUGGCUGGUCGAAGAUACCAGGCCGCUGCGACUGUUUAUUAAAAACACAGCACUCUGCAAACACGAAAGUGGACGUAUAGGGUGUGACGCCUGCCCGGUGCCGGAAGGUUAAUUGAUGGGGUUAGCGCAAGCGAAGCUCUUGAUCGAAGCCCCGGUAAACGGCGGCCGUAACUAUAACGGUCCUAAGGUAGCGAAAUUCCUUGUCGGGUAAGUUCCGACCUGCACGAAUGGCGUAACGAUGGCGGCGCUGUCUCCACCCGAGACUCAGUGAAAUUGAAAUCGCUGUGAAGAUGCAGUGUAUCCGCGGCUAGACGGAAAGACCCCGUGAACCUUUACUGUAGCUUUGCACUGGACUUUGAGCCUGCUUGUGUAGGAUAGGUGGGAGGCUUUGAAGCGUGGACGCCAGUUCGCGUGGAGCCAUCCUUGAAAUACCACCCUGGCAUGCUUGAGGUUCUAACUCUGGUCCGUAAUCCGGAUCGAGGACAGUGUAUGGUGGGCAGUUUGACUGGGGCGGUCUCCUCCUAAAGAGUAACGGAGGAGUACGAAGGUGCGCUCAGACCGGUCGGAAAUCGGUCGCAGAGUAUAAAGGCAAAAGCGCGCUUGACUGCGAGACAGACACGUCGAGCAGGUACGAAAGUAGGUCUUAGUGAUCCGGUGGUUCUGUAUGGAAGGGCCAUCGCUCAACGGAUAAAAGGUACUCCGGGGAUAACAGGCUGAUACCGCCCAAGAGUUCAUAUCGACGGCGGUGUUUGGCACCUCGAUGUCGGCUCAUCACAUCCUGGGGCUGAAGCCGGUCCCAAGGGUAUGGCUGUUCGCCAUUUAAAGUGGUACGCGAGCUGGGUUUAGAACGUCGUGAGACAGUUCGGUCCCUAUCUGCCGUGGACGUUUGAGAUUUGAGAGGGGCUGCUCCUAGUACGAGAGGACCGGAGUGGACGAACCUCUGGUGUUCCGGUUGUCACGCCAGUGGCAUUGCCGGGUAGCUAUGUUCGGAAAAGAUAACCGCUGAAAGCAUCUAAGCGGGAAACUUGCCUCAAGAUGAGAUCUCACUGGGAACUUGAUUCCCCUGAAGGGCCGUCGAAGACUACGACGUUGAUAGGCUGGGUGUGUAAGCGUUGUGAGGCGUUGAGCUAACCAGUACUAAUUGCCCGUGAGGCUUGACCAU
RNAcentral lists this ribosomal RNA (2757 nucleotides) under Pseudomonas aeruginosa. RNAcentral describes it as "partial 23S ribosomal RNA". It matches the Rfam family "Bacterial large subunit ribosomal RNA". The record is from RNAcentral. Lineage: Bacteria; Pseudomonadati; Pseudomonadota; Gammaproteobacteria; Pseudomonadales; Pseudomonadaceae.